GAUGAACGCUGGCGGCGUGCCUAAUACAUGCAAGUCGAGCGAACGGACGAGAAGCUUGCUUUUCUGAUGUUAGCGGCGGACGGGUGAGUAACACGUGGAUAACCUACCUAUAAGACUGGGAUAACUUCGGGAAACCGGAGCUAAUACCGGAUAAUAUUUUGAACCGCAUGGUUCAAAAGUGAAAGACGGUCUUGCUGUCACUUAUAGAUGGAUCCGCGCUGCAUUAGCUAGUUGGUAAGGUAACGGCUUACCAAGGCAACGAUGCAUAGCCGACCUGAGAGGGUGAUCGGCCACACUGGAACUGAGACACGGUCCAGACUCCUACGGGAGGCAGCAGUAGGGAAUCUUCCGCAAUGGGCGAAAGCCUGACGGAGCAACGCCGCGUGAGUGAUGAAGGUCUUCGGAUCGUAAAACUCUGUUACUAGGGAAGAACAUAUGUGUAAGUAACUGUGCACAUCUUGACGGUACCUAAUCAGAAAGCCACGGCUAACUACGU
This 496-nucleotide ribosomal RNA is filed under the name uncultured bacterium. RNAcentral's name for it is "partial 16S ribosomal RNA". It matches the Rfam family "Bacterial small subunit ribosomal RNA", at positions 28 to 506 of the family's 1533-position model. The record is from RNAcentral.